Molecule: ribosomal RNA, 558 nt
Filed under: Triticum aestivum (bread wheat)
Lineage: Eukaryota; Viridiplantae; Streptophyta; Magnoliopsida; Poales; Poaceae
Description: partial small subunit ribosomal RNA
Source: RNAcentral
CACCUACCGCCGUUCCCCAAGCCGCCGACGAGCACCAGGCAGUCGACGCCAUGGACGGCUGCUGAGCUUCGCGCCACCCGACGUCAACCGCAUCGCCGCCCCAAGGGAUCCGUGCGCGUGGCCGCGCCGCCGGUGUGUGCGGCCGCAGCAACAGGUUCGGCAAGGACUCUCGGCCCUGCCGCUUCAUUGCUCCUGCCCAAGCCGGCCUCCGCUUUCUGACCCCGCCACCGGCGAGCUGCCAUGCCCGUCCUCGUCGCACUGGUGCUAUCCUCUAGUAUGCUUGCUGGCUGCGACCAGAGCCCUGUACAUAUUUGGUUGUUGCUUUCUUGAUGGGUUUUAAGUGGAUCUUAAUUUGAUGUAUCCUGGCACUUGUCCAUGUGUAAAUCUGAUGUGCAGAACACUUAGAAGUUGCUACUCGUAGGAUAUUCUUGCUCGUAUGUGUACACGUGAAGAAUGGCUAGCUCGUAGAUCCGUUUUCUUUUUGUUAAAGAAAUAUACAUUAAUUUUUAUUUAAUUUGUAUUGCAAAUCUCUGUAGUGACGCCAUCGUCCUCUUUUGC